UACAGAGGGUGCAAGCGUUAAUCGGAAUUACUGGGCGUAAAGCGUGCGUAGACGGUUAUUUAAGUCAGGUGUGAAAGCCCCGGGCUCAACCUGGGAAUUGCAUUUGAGACUGAAUAGCUAGGGUGCGGAAGAGGGAAGCGGAAUUUCCGGUGUAGCGGUGAAAUGCGUAGAUAUUCGGAGGAACACCAGUGGCGAAGGCGGCUCACUGGUCCAUUACUGACGCUGAGGUGCGAAAGCGUGGGGAGCAAACAGG
This 253-nucleotide ribosomal RNA is filed under the name uncultured bacterium. RNAcentral's name for it is "partial 16S ribosomal RNA". It matches the Rfam family "Bacterial small subunit ribosomal RNA", at positions 524 to 776 of the family's 1533-position model. The record is from RNAcentral.